CCUACGGGUGGCAGCAGUGAGGAAUAUUGGUCAAUGGUCGGGAGACUGAACCAGCCAAGCCGCGUGAGGGAUGAAGGUCCAGAGUAUCGUAAACCUCUUUUGUCAGGGAACAAAGGCGGGGACGUGUCCCCGGAUGAGUGUACCUGAAGAAAAAGCAUCGGUUAAGUCCGUGCCAGCGGCCGCGGUAAUACGGGGGGUGCGAGCGUAAUCCGGAUUUAUUGUGGUAAAGGGGUGCGCAGGCGGGUGGUUAAGUCAGCGUGAAAAGCCCGGGGCCCAACCCGGGCCCGCCGUUGAAACUGGCAGUCUCGAGUUGGAGAGAGGUAUGCGGAAUGCGCGGUGUAGCGGUGAAAUGCAUAGAGAUCGCGCAGAACUCCGAUGGCGAAGGCAGCAUGCCGGCUCCACACUGACGCUGAGGCACGAAAGCGUGGGUAUCGAACAGGAUUAGAUACCCCUGUAGUC
This 459-nucleotide ribosomal RNA is filed under the name uncultured bacterium. RNAcentral describes it as "partial 16S ribosomal RNA". It matches the Rfam family "Bacterial small subunit ribosomal RNA", at positions 338 to 795 of the family's 1533-position model. The record is from RNAcentral.